CCCGCACAAGCGGCGGAGCAUGCGGAUUAAUUCGAUGCAACGCGAAGAACCUUACCAAGGCUUGACAUACACCGGUAACGCCCAGAGAUGGGUGCCCCUUUGUGGUCGGUGGACAGGUGGUGCAUGGUUGUCGUCAGCUCGUGUCGUGAGAUGUUGGGUUAAGUCCCGCAACGAGCGCAACCCUCGUCCUAUGUUGCCAGCGGGUCAUGCCGGGGACUCAUGGGAGACUGCCGGGGUCAACUCGGAGGAAGGUGGGGAUGACGUCAAAUCAUCAUGCCCCUUAUGUCUUGGGCUUCACGCAUGCUACAAUGGCCGGUACAAAGGGCUGCGAUACCGCGAGGUGGAGCGAAUCCCAGAAAGCCGGUCUCAGUUCGGAUUGGGGUCUGCAACUCGACCCCACGAAGUCGGAGUCGCUAGUAAUCGCAGAUCAGCAACGCUGCGGUGAAUACGUUCCCGGGCCUU
This 462-nucleotide ribosomal RNA is filed under the name uncultured Curtobacterium sp. RNAcentral's name for it is "bacterial SSU rRNA". It matches the Rfam family "Bacterial small subunit ribosomal RNA", at positions 920 to 1382 of the family's 1533-position model. The record is from RNAcentral. Lineage: Bacteria; Bacillati; Actinomycetota; Actinomycetes; Micrococcales; Microbacteriaceae.